This is a vault RNA of Gadus morhua (Atlantic cod), 103 nucleotides long. Its record names the gene Vault. It matches the Rfam family "Vault RNA". From Rfam's summary of the family: This family of RNAs are found as part of the enigmatic vault ribonucleoprotein complex. Lineage: Eukaryota; Metazoa; Chordata; Actinopteri; Gadiformes; Gadidae. The record is from Ensembl.
GCGCUGGCUUAGCUCAUCGGUUACUUCCAUGUCACUAUUGUAUCAGCGGCGGUGGCCUUCGUGGCUACUGCUGAUCGAACCGCGAGCGCUGUCCAGCGUUUUG